This 59-nucleotide transfer RNA is filed under the name Oxyrrhis marina. Lineage: Eukaryota; Dinophyceae; Oxyrrhinales; Oxyrrhinaceae. The record is from RNAcentral.
UAUGUGGCGCAGUGGCAUCGCUCCCGGCUGUGGUCCCGGAGACGUGGGUUCAAUCCCGA